GGUGCUGCUGUGGCUUAGGUGGUCAAAGCACCUGUCUACUAAACAGGAGAUCCUGGGUUCGAAUCCCAAGCAGUACCU
Molecule: non-coding RNA, 78 nt
Organism: Nerophis ophidion (straightnose pipefish)
Lineage: Eukaryota; Metazoa; Chordata; Actinopteri; Syngnathiformes; Syngnathidae
Source: the annotation of a RefSeq genome assembly